RNAcentral lists this ribosomal RNA (523 nucleotides) under Anopheles annularis. RNAcentral describes it as "eukaryotic LSU rRNA". The stretch from base 1 to 143 matches the Rfam family "5.8S ribosomal RNA". Lineage: Eukaryota; Metazoa; Arthropoda; Insecta; Diptera; Culicidae. The record is from RNAcentral.
AUCACUCGGCUCGUGGAUCGAUGAAGACCGCAGCUAAAUGCGCGUCAGAAUGUGAACUGCAGGACACAUGAACAUUGAUAAGUUGAACGCAUAUUGCGCAUCGGACGUCUCAACCCGACCGAUGCACACAUCCUUGAGUGCCUACCAAGUUAUCUAUACGCAUUUACCAAACUGACAGCCUAUCUCCGGGAUAGAUGUCGCAUCAUGGCGUGCUCGGACCCGCACUGGACGGGACCUUGGGCGCUGAAAGUGUGAAAGCUAAUACAGAUGACUUUGUAUGGUAAGGGUAAGCGAUGAACAGACACCGCGACAAGUCGCAUGGUUCGACCUCAGUAUCAACCCGGGAUCAAACCCCCGCAGCCUAUCACGGGCGCUAGCAAAGGGGUCCUGGGGGGGCUCUGGUCGUGUAACACUUGCGGCCCAACGGGUCUAUCUUCAUCGGCUUGCAAAGGCAAACACGGGAAUUGGAAAAUUCUCUAUGUAGGCCUCAAGUGAUGUGUGACUACCCCCUAAAUUUAAGCAU